Pelobates cultripes (western spadefoot toad) is the source of this 368-nucleotide non-coding RNA. NCBI's taxonomy places the organism in Eukaryota, Metazoa, Chordata, Amphibia, Anura, Pelobatidae. The record is from the annotation of a GenBank genome assembly.
UUUUUUCUUUCUACAAAUGUAUUUAUACUGUACUACAAAUUUAUAAUUCUUGGUUCUGAAACAUGAAGAAACAAAUUUACCAAAAUAUUCAGAGAAACUGUCAACUUUCUCCUUGUAAUUAAUUGAUUAAAUGUCAAAGCUGGUUGAACAUUCCCUACUCCCAUUCCCUGGGCUACACGUUGGAGAGAAAGUAGCUUAAAAUAGGUUGGAAAUACCACCACUAGCUAGACAGUAAGAAGGAGCUCUUGCUUUAGUGUUCGACUAAAAGUAUGAUAAGAGCAGGAGAUGGCACUGAGUGAAUCUCUGUGCUGGAAAAAUGUUUUUUACCCUUUUAUUUUAAAUUUGUAUUUCUAACAGUUUGGUGUUCC